RNAcentral lists this ribosomal RNA (371 nucleotides) under uncultured bacterium. Its description in RNAcentral is "bacterial SSU rRNA". It matches the Rfam family "Bacterial small subunit ribosomal RNA", at positions 527 to 896 of the family's 1533-position model. The record is from RNAcentral.
GUAGGCGUUUAGCGUUGUCCGGAUUUACUGGGCGUAAAGAGCGCGCAGGCGGUCGUUCAAGUCGCGUGUGAAAGCCCCCGGCUCAACUGGGGAGGGUCACGCGAUACUGAUCGACUCGAAGGCAGGAGAGGGAAGUGGAAUUCCCGGUGUAGUGGUGAAAUGCGUAGAUAUCGGGAGGAACACCAGUGGCGAAGGCGACUUCCUGGCCUGUUCUUGACGCUGAGGCGCGAAAGCUAGGGGAGCAAACGGUAUUAGAUACCCCGGUAGUCCUAGCCGUAAACGAUGGACACUAGGUGUUGGUGGUAUCAACCCCGCCAGUGCCGAAGCUAACGCAUUAAGUGUCCCGCCUGGGGAGUACGGCCGCAAGGCUA